RNAcentral lists this long non-coding RNA (202 nucleotides) under Gossypium barbadense (sea-island cotton). RNAcentral describes it as "long non-coding RNA (GBAR_LNC007421)". The record is from RNAcentral. Lineage: Eukaryota; Viridiplantae; Streptophyta; Magnoliopsida; Malvales; Malvaceae.
AGCCAAGGGAGUAUUCAUGGGUUGGGAAGGAUAAUAAAAAUAGAAAAAAUCAGCAGCCAUAGACUUCCCCCAUGGCCGGCCACAAAUGUGGCAAGUUUGAAGGUUUCAAACUUACUAUUUUUAGGUAAGGGCAAUUUUAGGAAGGCAUGAUAAGUGGAGGGGUUUGAAUGCAAAUUUAAGGAGUCUUCAAGGGCUAUUUUUC